RNAcentral lists this ribosomal RNA (505 nucleotides) under uncultured bacterium. RNAcentral describes it as "partial 16S ribosomal RNA". It matches the Rfam family "Bacterial small subunit ribosomal RNA", at positions 28 to 507 of the family's 1533-position model. The record is from RNAcentral.
GACGAACGCUGGCGGCGUGCCUAAUACAUGCAAGUAGAACGCACAGUUUAUACCGUAGCUUGCUACACCAUAGACUGUGAGUUGCGAACGAGUGAGUAACGCGUAGGUAAUCUGCCUGGUAUCGGUGGAUAACUAUUGGACAAGAUAGCUAAUAUCGCUUAAUAUUGAUUAUUCCAUGGUAAUUAAUUGAAAUGUGCAAUUGCAUCACUACAAGCUGGACCUGCUUUGUAUUAGCUAGUAGGAGAGGUAACGGGUCACCUAAGCGACGAUACAUAGCCGACCUGGGGGGGUGGUCGGCCAAAAUGGGAAUGAGACACGGCCCCGACUCCUACGGGGGGCAGCAGUAGGGGAACUUCGGCAAUGGACGGAAGGCUGAACGGGCAACGGCGCGUGAAGGAAGAAGGGUUUCGGGUCGUAAAGCUCUGUUGUAAAGGAAAAAAGAGUGUGAGAGUGGACAGUUCACACUGUGACGGUAUCUUACCAGAAAGGGACGGCUAACUACGUG